CCGCCCGUCACACCAUGAGAGUCGAUAACACCCGAAGCCUGUGAGCUAACCUUUUAGGAGGCAGCAGUCGAAGGUGGGGUUGAUGAUUGGGGUGAAGUCGUAACAAGGUACC
Molecule: ribosomal RNA, 112 nt
Filed under: uncultured bacterium
Lineage: Bacteria
Description: partial 16S ribosomal RNA
Rfam family: Bacterial small subunit ribosomal RNA
Source: RNAcentral